This 253-nucleotide ribosomal RNA is filed under the name uncultured bacterium. RNAcentral's name for it is "partial 16S ribosomal RNA". It matches the Rfam family "Bacterial small subunit ribosomal RNA", at positions 524 to 776 of the family's 1533-position model. The record is from RNAcentral.
UACAGAGACUGCAAGCGUUAUUCGGAUUCACUGGGCGUAAAGGGUGCGCAGGCGGUUGGGUGUGUCAGAUGUGAAAUCCCGAGGCUCAACCUCGGAACUGCGUCUGAAACUACUCGACUAGAGUACUGGAGAGGGAAACGGAAUUCACGGUGUAGCAGUGAAAUGCGUAGAUAUCGUGAGGAACACCAGAGGCGAAGGCGGUUUCCUGGACAGUUACUGACGCUCAGGCACGAAAGCAUGGGGAGCAAAAGGG